Molecule: long non-coding RNA, 894 nt
Filed under: Homo sapiens (human)
Lineage: Eukaryota; Metazoa; Chordata; Mammalia; Primates; Hominidae
Description: HSALNT0239183
Source: RNAcentral
UAAACACACAUCCAUCUUCUGAGCGGUGCUAUCUUAAGUCUAGGUGGAAGCCUUCAAAACAGGAACCUGGUCAAUUGCAAACCUUCCUCCUAACCCAGGCUCCUCAUCCCCAGAGCCGGCUAUGAAGAAAGAUGGUUUGGGAACAGGGAAAGAAGAUCUGGUUAGGAGCCAUCCCGGCUGCUUGUCUCUUAAUGUCAGUAAAGACAGGGUUUCGCCAUGUUGCCCAGGCUGGUCUUGAACUCCUGACCUCAAGGGAUCCACCUGCCUCGGCCUCCCAAAAUGCUGGGAUUACAGGUGUGAACCACUGCACCCAGCUGUUUUGAAAGGGGACACAGAACAGCUGGAUGCCAAAGAGAUGUCCUAAAACAAAAUGGGAUAGCCCAUAUACUCCUAAUAGGCUGGAGGUGGACUGAAGGAAGAAUCUAACAACAUUUCUGGCUCUAAAAGACAAAAAAAAAAAAAAAAACACAAAAAAAACAAAGUUACAGAUAAAUGAAAGAACUGAAGAAUAGUGCCUGCUGGUGUGCAUGACAUCAGUUUACCCCAGGCUACUUCAGCACACACUUGGCAGGCCAGCAGGCUGUUAUCCAUCUUGGACAGGGGCACGUGAACCAAGGACAAAGUGAAUAUUGAACACAUCUCAACACGUGGACAACCCUUGGGACUCAACUUUCUCACCCAGGUCCUUUGGUAAUAAAUGGAUUCUACUUUUGACGUGGAUUUUUGCUUAGAGAGCUUUGUAUCAUCUUGAAGAAGAUGCAUACAAAAUUGUAAACACAGAAGUACUAGUACCCCAUCCAGGGCCCCCAUGAAGAGCAUAGCAGAUCCUUCCCUGGUCUUGAACAGUUCUUUUUGUUAUGUGACUUUGGACCCUUCACUUUACAUUGCUAAGCC